AGCGAACGCUGGCGGCAGGCCUAACACAUGCAAGUCGAACGAACCUUUCGGGGUUAGUGGCGGACGGGUGAGUAACACGUGGGAACGUGCCUUUAGGUUCGGAAUAACUCAGGGAAACUUGUGCUAAUACCGAAUGUGCCCUUCGGGGGAAAGAUUUAUCGCCUUUAGAGCGGCCCGCGUCUGAUUAGCUAGUUGGUUGAGGUAAUGGCUCACCAAGGCGACGAUCAGUAGCUGGUCUGAGAGGAUGAUCAGCCACAUUGGGACUGAGACACGGCCCAAAAUCCUACGGGAGGCAGCAGUGGGGAAUCUUGCGCAAAGGGCGAAAGCCUGACGCAGCCAUGCCGCGUGAAUGAUGAAGGUCUUAGGAUUGUAAAAUUCUUUCACCGGGGACGAUAAUGACGGUACCCGGAGAAGAAGCCCCGGCUAACUUCGUG
This 434-nucleotide ribosomal RNA is filed under the name uncultured bacterium. RNAcentral's name for it is "partial 16S ribosomal RNA". It matches the Rfam family "Bacterial small subunit ribosomal RNA", at positions 29 to 507 of the family's 1533-position model. The record is from RNAcentral.